UACGGAGGGUGCAAGCGUUAUCCGGAAUCACUGGGUUUAAAGGGUGCGUAGGCGGCCUUAUAAGUCAGAUGUGAAAGCUCCCAGCUUAACUGGGAAAUUGCAUUUGAUACUGUAGGGCUUGAAUCAGGUUGAGGUUAGCGGAAUGUGACAUGUAGCGGUGAAAUGCUUAGAUAUGUCAUAGAACACCAAUUGCGUAGGCAGCUAACUAGGCCUGUAUUGACGCUGAGGCACGAAAGCGUGGGGAGCGAACAGG
RNAcentral lists this ribosomal RNA (253 nucleotides) under uncultured bacterium. Its description in RNAcentral is "partial 16S ribosomal RNA". It matches the Rfam family "Bacterial small subunit ribosomal RNA", at positions 524 to 776 of the family's 1533-position model. The record is from RNAcentral.